Molecule: ribosomal RNA, 450 nt
Filed under: uncultured bacterium
Lineage: Bacteria
Description: partial 16S ribosomal RNA
Rfam family: Bacterial small subunit ribosomal RNA
Source: RNAcentral
GUGGGGAAUUUUGGACAAUGGGCGCAAGCCUGAUCCAGCAAUGCCGCGUGCAGGAUGAAGGCCUUCGGGUUGUAAACUGCUUUUGUACGGAACGAAAAGCCCUGGGUUAAUACCCUGGGGUCAUGACGGUACCGUAAGAAUAAGCACCGGCUAACUACGUGCCAGCAGCCGCGGUAAUACGUAGGGUGCGAGCGUUAAUCGGAAUUACUGGGCGUAAAGCGUGCGCAGGCGGUGCUGUAAGACAGGCGUGAAAUCCCCGGGCUCAACCUGGGAAUUGCGCUUGUGACUGCAGCGCUGGAGUGCGGCAGAGGGGGAUGGAAUUCCGCGUGUAGCAGUGAAAUGCGUAGAUAUGCGGAGGAACACCGAUGGCGAAGGCAAUCCCCUGGGCCUGCACUGACGCUCAUGCACGAAAGCGUGGGGAGCAAACAGGAUUAGAAACCCGAGUAGUCC